Panonychus citri (citrus red mite) is the source of this 655-nucleotide long non-coding RNA. RefSeq lists it as uncharacterized. The transcript has 2 exons. The record is from RefSeq and is a predicted model, not a curated record. Lineage: Eukaryota; Metazoa; Arthropoda; Arachnida; Trombidiformes; Tetranychidae.
GAAUUUUUUUUUUAUUCUAUUUUCUUGUUUUUUUUUCCUGGUUACAUGUUCUGUUUGUUUUCUUCCUUCUUUGUACAAUUAACUAUUAUUUCAAAUUGUUGUUCAUUAACCGUCAUUCUAAUGUUCUGACGUAAUUAAUAUGUUUAUAAUUUCCUAUUGAUUUGGUGAUUCAUUGUAGAGAAAGAGACAGAGAAAAGAUUUCCAAGUGAGAGAAAUAUUCUCAACAUGAUGAAUGGUGAUUAAGGUGAGUAAAUACCAUUGGAAAAUUAGGUAAAACUGUAUAUCUUUGAAAAGAUAACCUUGGUUAAAGAAGUAAUAAUAACCUUGGAUAAAUUAUUUCAUGGAAAAAAUAUAAUUAACUAUACCCACAUUUGAGUGAUUCCUUGUUGAGUGAGAGGCAACAAUUUAAAAUUCCCAAUGAUUGAUCCCAAGAGGAGAGAGAUACUUGAUAAUCAAGACAAUCGGAGACCUCUGACUGUUUGAUGGAUCCAAUUGAAACAAUAGGAGGGGCUGAUGAUGGUAUUUUAUGUCAACAAUUGUACUUGCCAAGGGAAAAUAACAACACAAUUAGUCUAAUUGUGUUUAGAUUGUUAAACUUUGCUGAUUGUGUUUACCUAAAACAACAUUGGAAAUGAAGAAAUGUUUUUUUUCUGGU